AUAUUUUUAAAUCUACAGAACUAGAUAAUUCUCCGUCAAGACUACUACUUGUCUGUGGAGCUCUCUACUAGGGAAGUUCCUGAAGUCUGAAAAAAAUCAGUCCUGUCCCAGCAGUAACAAAUGAGUACAGGUUUGUGGAGCAAGCAACUGUUCAUUUGUUUUGUCAGUAAUGGAAAGAAGACUUGAACAGCUGAUGACAGACUCAUCCAUGCAGUUCUUCUAUGCCUAAGUGAAUACAAAUUAACAACAACAAAAUUGUUCAAGAACAUUUGGUCUUUGGAAGAAAAGCACUUGUCACAUAAUCCUGUGGUUACUGAAAGAACAGGAGGGAUUUUCACUGAUGUCAUUAGCAGUUGGAUCAAAUUCAAGCAUGGAUUUAGCCGAAUGGCGAGGGAAGAAAAGUGCUCUGGUGAUGGCUGGAUAUCUCACUGGGUGAGCCUGGACAUUUAUUAAUUAUACUGUGAAGAAGUUUGAAGAUGAAAAAGAGAGAUCAUUAUUAUCAAGGAUUAUUUAAACUAAAUUUUUGGGAGGUUGAAAUACAGUCCAGCUGAGAACUGCAUGCCGAAGCUUUGGAAAAAACAGUCAGUCAGUAGGUUUCUACCAGUAUGAUGUCAAAUUAAAAUUACACUUUGCAACAGUAAAUUCAGUGCUGAUAAAUCCCUGUGGAUUAAACAUAGGAAGCUGAAAGAAUUAACACCUAUUUUUUCUCAUCCAGAUCAUUUUCCUUCCUAUUAGGAUUUUAUUUUCAAAAAGCAACUUGAAAUCUGUAUCUGGAGAUGUAAACAACUACACAGGGAAAAAGUGAGUACUUAGCAGCAAGUGAAGUUUGUCCAAGGAUUACCAUAGUGAAUAAAACCAACUUCCCUUUUAAAAGCUGAGUGUAC
RNAcentral lists this long non-coding RNA (884 nucleotides) under Struthio camelus australis. RNAcentral's name for it is "lncRNA (ENSSCUG00000003439.1)". Lineage: Eukaryota; Metazoa; Chordata; Aves; Struthioniformes; Struthionidae. The record is from RNAcentral.